UGAGCUUUCGUCUUAUGAUUGAUGUAUCAUUAAUCAUUAGAUGAAAACUCACG
This 53-nucleotide microRNA precursor is filed under the name Ciona intestinalis (vase tunicate). RNAcentral describes it as "microRNA cin-mir-4100 precursor". The record is from miRBase by way of RNAcentral. Lineage: Eukaryota; Metazoa; Chordata; Ascidiacea; Phlebobranchia; Cionidae.